UACGGAGAGUUUGAUCCUGGCUCAGAACGAACGCUGGCGGCGUGCUUAAUACAUGCAAGUCGUGCGAGAAAGUACCCUUCGGGGUGCGAGUAGAGCGGCGAACGGGUGAGUAACACGUAAGUAACCUUCCUCUAAAUCUGGAAUAACAUUGCUAAAGCGGUGCUAAUACCGGAUGUGGUCCAAGCGUCACAUGUCGUUUGGAUUAAAGGUGACCUCUUCUUGAAAGUUACUGUUUAGAGAUGGACUUGCGUCCCAUUAGCUUGUUGGCGGGGUAACGGCCCACCAAGGCAAUGAUGGGUAGCCGGCCUGAGAGGGUGAUCGGCCACAUUGGGACUGAGAUACGGCCCAGACUCCUACGGGAGGCAGCAGUAGGGAAUUUUGCGCAAUGGACGAAAGUCUGACGCAGCAACGCCGCGUGAGGGAUGAAGG
This 429-nucleotide ribosomal RNA is filed under the name Chitinivibrionales bacterium. RNAcentral's name for it is "bacterial SSU rRNA". It matches the Rfam family "Bacterial small subunit ribosomal RNA", at positions 1 to 414 of the family's 1533-position model. Lineage: Bacteria; Pseudomonadati; Fibrobacterota; Chitinivibrionia; Chitinivibrionales. The record is from RNAcentral.